CAGUCGCCGCGGUAAUACGAAGGGGGCUAGCGUUGCUCGGAAUUACUGGGCGUAAAGGGAGCGUAGGCGGACAUUUAAGUCAGGGGUGAAAUCCCAGAGCUCAACUCUGGAACUGCCUUUGAUACUGGGUGUCUUGAGUGUGAUAGAGGUAUGUGGAACUCCGAGUGUAGAGGUGAAAUUCGUAGAUAUUCGGAAGAACACCAGUGGCGAAGGCGACGUACUGGAUCAUUACUGACGCUGAGGCUCGAAAGCGUGGGGAGCAAACAGGAUUAGAUACCCCUGUAGUCCCUGUCUCUUAUAC
Molecule: ribosomal RNA, 301 nt
Filed under: uncultured bacterium
Lineage: Bacteria
Description: partial 16S ribosomal RNA
Rfam family: Bacterial small subunit ribosomal RNA
Source: RNAcentral